ACAGGGAUGGGCUUUAGGAUCACUUCCAACCCAAACCAUUCUGGAUUCACCAGAUUUUUCUCCAGCCUUACUGGGUGGUUGGGACCAGCCCAUUGCCUGUCCCUGCUGGUGAGAUGCCACAACCUCUUCCAAUAAACCACUCAUCUUGUACCCAGAGCUAAGAACUGGCAGCUGGCACCACAAGAGAUUGGCAAGGGUGUCAGGUCUAGGUUGGAUACUAUGGAAAGGUUCUUCCCCCAGAGGGUGCUGGGGCACUGGAACAGCCCCCCAGGGAAUGGGCACAACCCCAGGGCUUCCAGAGCUCCAGGAAUAUUUAAACAACUUUCUCAAGGACAGGGUGUCAUUGUUGGGAUGUCUGUGCAGGGCCAGGAUUUGAACUCAAUGAUCCUUCUGCAUCCCUUCCAACUCAGAAUUUUUUCAUGAUUCUGUGGUUCUACGAUUUCUCUUUCUAUAGCAGACUCCAACACAGCACAGCUCGCCUGAAGUACAAUAAAAGAUAGAUUUUCUUGUAAAAUCAAAUGUUUUAUAGAAGAAUAUUUUAAAAAAACACCAAAAAACACCACCCCCCCACCCCCCAUUCUUUUCCUGCUGUAUCAACAUAACCUGAUAGCAAGCCAUUGCUUUGAUGAGGUCUGCGUGUUUCCUUUCUGGUUUAUGGUAUCGUAUGAUUAUAAAGUUGAAACAAUAAAAGCAAAUCAAAGCCCUUUGAUAGCAUGAAAACAAAACAUUUGGGGUUUGGCUAAAAUGAAUUAUAUUGCUGGAGCUGCACUGAAGUGCUUGGAUUUUUAGGACUGCCUUGUGGUGCAUCUAAAAAAAAAGAAGCUUUACAUUAAGUUUAGGUAAAUUUUAAAACAAACCAUCAUUUCGAGAAGAAAAAAAACUAAUGCUGUGCUUUGAGAAGGCAGAGAUAAAAACUUCCCAAUCUUCCCAUAGAAGAAGAGUAUGUCCAAUUAAAAGUGUUUCAAGCUGGUUGUCAACGAUUUUGGGACAUUAUCUGACUCUUCAGUUUUCAGCAAAUGAGGUUUCUGAUUGGAAGGAGCUCACCCAUCUGUAGGAGAGUGUCCUAUAUAGAGGACUAAUAAUGUUGGCAUGAAUAAUUCAUUGAUCUUUAUUACAUCGAAAGGUAUGUGUGGAGUGUGAUGCACACACAGUCUCAUCAAAGAAAGGCAUAUUCAGUUAAAAAUAAUCAGUUUGACUGUAGAUUUUGAGAGUGUUUGAUGGAUUAACUCCAGCAAAUCAACACCAAACUCGACUUUUGUUUGUCUCUCCCCAAUCUGUAGGGAGAUUAUUAAUAUCAUGUAACAUUCAGUUAAUAGGUCAGAUGUGAGACCUUAUUACAGAUCGGGGAUAAAUUGCCUCUCCGGUAGCACAUCCCUGACCUUCACAGACUUCAGAGUUCAAUAUUCAGCCUUCAUCCAUCCAGCCUUAAUUACUGUGUGCACGAGCAUUAGCACCACCACGAAAGGGCCGAGUUCAUGCAGCCAGGACCCUGCUUUGCAUCAUCUCUCUGCCUGGGAAGGACAGGAAAAAGUCUUUGGCAGGGUUAGACCCAGGUUUAGACUUCAUGUCUAAAUUGUCUUUUAGUUGUUUUACAUGCAAAAAUUUACUCUGGGUUUUGUGGAAUUGAGGGACUAUGAUACUUUCUCUCUCAGGGUUAUUAAUCAUCUGUUAUUAUUUUAUUUAUGUACCUCUUAGUAAGAAAAAGCGGACGAACCAAGGCCAGUCUCACUGAUUGCAGCUUUUAACUUGGGGGAAUGCGAUGGGAGAAGGAUGGGAGCAAUUUUACUGGGGGAAAAAACAUCCUUUGUGCUUGCAAUUUGCAUGGCAGAGGUAAUAAAUGACGCUGCAAGUAAUCUAAGGCUGAGAAAGGUAGCAGGUUAAUUGUCUUAUAAUUAUGAAUUCACUUUGUAUCCGUGGCCUUAGCAGAGAUCAUAAUGAAUUUAUUUAGCAUUCACGGGGCCAUCGUGGCACUUUCCUUCCAUCAGUGUGGGCAACACCUAUGUUGCCCCAGGGUGGCCGUUCAGGGGCUGGUCUGAGCCCAGACUGGAGUGGAUGGAGCAGAGGAGUUAUUAAACCAUGCCACACAUCAGCCAGGCAGAGAGGUCAGCCCCCUAAAUGAGUUUAGCUCCUUCCCUGGGUCUAUCUCAGAUGAGUACCCACAGCUUGAAAAUAAGUUUGUAAUUGACUGAUCCAGACAGAUGAGUUUGGGAAGAGGUGAUUGAUGUCAGCAAUAUAUCUGAACACAAUCAGCCUGGCCCAGAAUACUAAUCUGACAGCCUUCAGCAGCUCAGAGCUGCUGCUCAAACACACUUUGGGUAAGUAGAUCGUGCGUUAGCCAUCGCCUUGGGCUUCUGCUUGCUCCUGCCUUGGAAGCAGUGAGGGAGCAGGAGCUGCCUGUAAUGCUGGCCACGGGUCUAUGUACAAAUCACAAACGGGAUGGGGCUGCUGUGGAACACAUCUCAAGGUGUUUAUUUUCCAGCAUCAGUCUCAUUACAUGGUAUGGGACAUUCCCAUUAGGACAAUGGGAAGAUGCCAGUAGCUCACGUUCUCGGCAGCAGCCACAGAACUCAGUGUUACAACUUACUCUAAAAGCUUUUUGACCAAUCACACAAAGCAAAAGCAUAUUGACACUAGUUCUAUCCAGCCACUAAAAGCAUUCGUACCUUUGGUUAAAACAAUGCUCACUUAUUUCAAAUACAAUACUUGCUUGCAAGCCUUAAGAUAAAAUGCACAGAGCUCCAUUAUUAAGCUUAGAACUUCCUAAUAUCUCACUAGAUAUACUUUUCUGUAGGUUAGGGAGUUAUUCUAGACAAGCAUUAAUACACAGACCAUUGUUCUAUUUGUCCUUACUUUCUACAUCUUACAUAACUUUUCUGCUGACAAACCUUACGGUUACUGCUUAGCUCUAAUUGCAGUUCUGCUGUUUCUGAGGCCUGCUUUUUGCAACUUUCCCAAAACCCUGAGAUUUUAAGGAUUCCCUCAGCCUGAUUUGCAGUGUUUUAUUUGUGUUGAGCCGUGGGUUCACUCUUCAGGUCUCAAUGCCACCAAGUAUUUCAGCACACACUUACAUUUCAGCUCACGAGUAGUUGGGCUGAUCUUGGCGUUAUCUGCCUCAAAAUGUCAGGAACAGGUGAGGACUGUGCUAAAUCAGGCCAGAGGCAGGACUGGGAAGUUAAGCUCAUGCUGGAAGGCUGGAAGCAGUGGGGCCUGCAUGCUCAAGAGGUUCACACAGACUUGUGCAGUAGAGCAGCUUUCCACACCCUUUGUCCUGGGCAGCCUUUUGCUGAGCCUUGUGCUAAAUGGCAGAGAGACAAAUUCCAGGGUUACCCCAAGGUCCUUUUCAAGCCUCUGGUCCCCAGGGCUUCAGGGGCUGCCACCCUCACCAGGUCACCAGGCUUGGGAAAAGAAAGCUCUGGGAAAUCAAGGUGGGGCAACAAAAGCAAAGCUUUCUGCUCCCUGGCUGGAAAGGGGCAAAUGGCAAUGGUAGGGUGGGUAAGUAGGAAAAUCCACAUUUCCCCACUUUUGGUGCAGAGACAUCUCAGACAAAAUCAUGGUUUAGUUGCUUUGUUGCAAAACCGAAAUUAGGUGCUGGAGAUUCUUCACCUUGAGGAGCAGCACAAGGAGCCUUUUCCCUGGGUAUUUUCUGGCUCAUUAGAUUGAUGGUGCACUCUGGGUGAGUGACAAAGUUUGAAGGCUCUGUAAGAUCCUUGGCAUUCCUUGCUUUACCAGCUGAUGACCUCGGAGCCUGGGAUGCAUGUGGGGAAGGUCAGGGCUCCAGCCUGGCUCCCUUGAUAAAGCAGCCACCAUGAGGAGGUGUGGAGAUGCCACAGACAAUGUGACAUUUCCCUCGACUUUUUGUUGUUUGGAAACCCCUUGUUUCCCUGUGCUGUCCUGCCCAAGACCUGCUGGAGCAGCAGGCAGCAGGGAGGACCAGGCAGGGAUCACUGUGGAGGACACAGGAACGGGGGGAUGGAGCUUCCUCUCCUCCCCAGCCUGUUGCACCUCUCCUGUCCCUUGCCAAGAGCCUGGCUGGCGUUCCCCAGCCAUGAGCAGUGUCCCUCUGAGCUGUGUCUGUCUGUCCCCACCCUCAAACACCUCACAGCCUGCAGGCCUUGCUGAGCAGCAGCAGCAGAAUGGUGGCUGCCAGUGGGCAGGAGCUGCUCUGUUCCUUCACCAGCUCCUCCAUCGCCAACCUUUGCCUGACACGGGGCCUUGAAUUGGUGUGUGGGGUGGUGUCUGUGCCACUGCUGCCCCAUUUCUCCUCCCUCUGGGUGUAGUGCCUCCAGCCAGGGCUGGGAUGGCCCUGGGACAACAGGCACAAGCUGUCAGGCAUUGCUAGAGGGUCCCAGAUUUGCACCUCUCCAACAGGGACGGAGCACAUCACCGAGCUGCCUUUCCAGGGAACAAUUAUCCAUCCAGCUGCCAGUGGUAUUUUCCUUCCCCUACCCUCUUGCUCCUCCCCAGCUCAGCAGGGACCCCAGGACGGGUCCCUCCUGCCCCUCCUGCCCUCUCCCAGCUCUCUCCUGCUCUGCACUGUUUGCCAUCACUGCAAGCCUGUCCCCACCUAAAGGGGCUGCUGUUCCUUUCAUCUCUGCAUCUCUUUGACUCUUCAUUCUUUUGCCUUGUCUUCCUCGCUGGCAGGAUAUGAAAAAGCCACAGAAAUCGAAUUCCAUUUAAAGGCAUCCACCAAGAGAGGAUUUUUUUUUUUAAUCCUCCUUCCCCUUCUCUCCUCCUUAAAAUGAAGUUUUGUGCACUGCUCAUUAGAUGAUAAGUGAAUACAGAAAAACCUUUGAGCGAAGGUAAUUCCAGGCGUGUGGAAGAGGGCUCUGGUGCUGGCUCCACAUUUAUGAAUGCAAACGAGUCCGGGCAUCCUGUGGGGAUGCUUUGUCAGUCCUUUUAUCUCUAAAACCAAAGUUCAAACUGACUUCCUGAGUCAAGAACCAUAAAAUUAUUCUGUUGAAAGAACUCUCAAAUGCCAUCGGUGGAGGGGGGAGACCUUCAUUUCCCAGCCUCUGAACUGGUCUGUGCAUGUGCAGGGGAAAUGAAAGAGCCCUUCAUUAUCGGGGUGCUGUUCAGCCCCGUGCUGCUCUCCUGUAAUUGAUGGAAUAUAUUAUGCUCCAACAGGGAAGGUCCAAAUGGAAAUCCCUAAUAAUAAUAAUAAUAAUAACUCAAUGUGUUUCAGUCGCCCAUCCAAUCCCCAGAUCUCAAAGUGCUUUUGAGACAAUUAACCGAGGACCACAGAAAUCCUCAUCAAGCCAGGAUGUGACAAUCACUUUUGCCUUUGUCACAAAUCAAAGGAGCUGUAAUUUGAGGGGUGUCCCUCCAGUCGGGGCUUCAUCUGAGCACCAUCAGCACCCCAAACCCAUGGAGUGUGGGAACAUGGAUAACCCUUAAUAAAUCAUUCUGUUGGUGCAAAUAGGUUGAAAUUGAAGUGAGAGGAUGCUUUAGGUGCCAACACAACCAUGGACAUGGGCUAAAGCUGCCCAGGAGCCUGGCCAUGGUGGUCUGGGGUAUUUUGAGGAAGGUUUCCAGGAUGUGCCAUUAAAGAGCUGCAGGUCUGUAGGACUGGGGCAUUUGCAGGUGACUUUGGAGCAAUUAAUCUCUGGAGCACCAUUCUUGUGCACAGAGAGGAAUUUUUUGUGUUGCAAGCACCCCAAAAUCAGUCAGAUCUGCUGCAUCAGAGGUAAAUUUGUACAGGCUGCAAAUUUCAGUUGGGAUGGUGUGAAAACACAAGCACAAACAUGCCAGAAGCCAGACAGAUAAAACAGAGGAGCACAGGGCAGGGAAAUGACAGCAGAGGAGGAGAAAUACAACUGGUGUGACUGCCAGCACAUCUGUCCCAGUUACCUCCCACCAAGGAGACACUACAAGGCCCCAGUGCCAGUGCCAUCCCUGUCACAAGCCACUCAGCCAAAUACUGUCAGCAUUCCAGAGGUCUGGAUUUCACUGUGGCACCAAUUAACAGUACAGUUUACAGGAAGUUUGCUGUAUUUUUUUUUUUUUGGUGGAUUUUAAAUUGCACUUUUUUUUUUUUUUUUUUUAGUAGCUUUUCCUGCAGAGAUAAACUGCUGCAGUGGGUUGGGGACCAGAACAGCUUCUGAUACCUCUUUAGCUGAGCAUCAGUGGCAAAGACAUCUUUGCCCACCCAGCUGUGAUCUAAAUCCCACUGGUGCCAGCACAAUUCUCAAGCAGCUCCUGCACACAGUUCACCUGGAGCAGAUGGAAACCCUCCAGGGGCUGAAAGGAGAGCUCAGGCUCUGUUCCCUUUCAGCUUUUUUCAGGGAUAUUUUACUGCCAAGCAGCAUGCAGCCAGGGAAGGAUCUUGGGCUAUCCAAGACAAUGCUGAGCUCCGUGUUGCUUUCACAGCCUGUGGGGAGCAAUACUGGAGGAUGUUCCUGUUCCUGUCCAACCCUCCCUCCAGCUGGUUCCUUCCACUACCUCCCAGCACUGCCUAAAGGUGCAGGACCCUAUUUAAUUAAGUAACAAGAAUCGAAUGUGAUAGCUACAAGCAUCAGCUAAUUAAAAGGAGGGGAAUUGCAAAAGAGAAGUGCCAUGAAUUCACUGAAAAUCAAUCAAAUUAGAGUGUCUCAUCAUCCCCUCAAAUGGGCCUGAUCUUCUCCCUCUGUCUUGCUGCUUAACCCUUUGUACCAGCAUAUUUUGGUUGGUGUUAGGGGAAGGUGCUGCAGUCACACUGUGGGACAAGGCAGCAUCUGGGGCUCCAAAGGCACGUGGCCACCCCAGUGCUUUGAUCCACUCUGGAGCACGGCUGGAUCUGUGAAUCCUUCCCCCUCUGCAGGUACUGCCUGACUCCUGGCAGGGUCCUUCUUCCUUUAAAUCCUCACCAAGGAGCACGACAGCAGCACCACCAGAAAAGGAGGAAGAAAAAAAUCUCAUUUAAUCAAAGAGAAUAUUAAAGCUGAGCUUUUUGUACAGCAACGGGCCUCAGAUGGAGAAAUCCCCUCCAUCGGCAGAGGGAAGAGCGAGGGAGAGGGAAAGACAUAAAAAAGCAUCAGAGUUUUAAUUAAAAAGCUGCAUCCUGCUUUCGUUUGCAGCUUGUUUCCAGAUCCCUUCAUUAGGCUUUACCCUUUAAAUGCUCGUUAUCAAAGCUGUACAAAUUCCACUGACUUGGGAUGUGCAUUUGUGGAAGAGCCCUUUUUGUCUGUGGGUUGGAUUGCAGAUGGGGUAUGGAGGGGCCAGCAGCAGAGGGAAGGAGCAGAAAUUGUUGUCUCAGGGAGAAGCAUCCCGGCUCCAGGGAUUUUCUUCCAUUGCUCUCACGGCCAGGCUGGCUAAUGGCCAGCUCCAGCCAGGCCACCUCCGUGGGGCUGCUCCUGACCUUGCACGAGGCAGAAAGGAGAAGCCAGGUGUGUUGGAAAGAGUUAAUUUGGCUGUUGGAGGCUCAGGAGGGCCUGUUAGGGCCUGCAGCCCCCACCACACCUUGUCUGACCCAGCAGGAGCAUUUCCAGAGGAACUUCAGGUCUGCAGAGAUUUUGCUGAGCAUCUUGCCAUGAAUAUCGCUAUCCGUGCUCCUGGAACUGAAGGGAGCUCCCUGCCUGAUCCCCACAAGCUGCAUCAGAGUGGGGUUUGGCCACUGCCACGGCCCCCAAACCCUCUUGUCCUAAGUGCCACAGGACCUUUCACAGCCAGUGGUCUGUGCCUUAUUUUCAAUUAGAGCACUAAUGACCCCUUCCAAAUUGGGCUGCUGAAGAACAUCGUCCUGACCCCUCAGAUGCACUUUAGGAUCUAGAAUUAAAAGAGAGCCUAUAAUGCGGGUAAAGAAUCCCUUCUAAAAUCCCUCAUUUUGUGUAUAUCCCCCUUGUUGGUGCUUUUUCAGGCCUCUGGCCGUGGUGC
Molecule: non-coding RNA, 7848 nt
Organism: Taeniopygia guttata (zebra finch)
Lineage: Eukaryota; Metazoa; Chordata; Aves; Passeriformes; Estrildidae
Source: RefSeq, a predicted model, not a curated record